CGGGGCCAGGCGGGCAGGGUGAGCUCGUGCACCAGGGGUGGGCAGUGCCCCACCGCCCCGCCCCCAGGAAGGAGGAAGCAAAAGCAGAACCUCUCAGGCUACUUGGACCUUUCUGCAGAAAACAGUGUCCGGAACUCUUAGAGAAAGGCCUUCUUCUUUCACAUUAGCGAUGCAUCUCUGAUGAGGCUCAGAGAAGCAGGCGAGGGAGCUUCUGAGUGGAGGAAUUGAGCAGAGAGGCCGGUGUUUGCCAAGGGAACCGAGGGGAGUUGUGGCUGGCCGAGCUGAAGCAGAACAGCUGGCCUCUGGAACUUUCCCUCAGACUCAGCGGCUCCGGAAACGUUUGGGGGCAGUGAGCGGCGAGGAGGCCGCUCCUUCGUUCAGGACAGUUUGUCACACGCAGAGCUGCCUGGGGAUGGCUGCUCUGGUCCCUGUGGCCCCUCAGAAGCCGACCAGGCUCCCAGCUGGAGGGAGGGGAACUGGAACCCAUUUUUGAAACCCUGAAUCUCUCUGCACCAGCAAGCUGGAGUGCGACAAGGUAGAAAUGAAGCUGUUUUCCUUCCCAAAUUAAUAUGAAACAAGGAGCAGCUUAAUUGUACUUUGGGUUUAAACCAGUUCCUCAGUUGCCAUAGUAACCCAGAAAAGGCAUUUAAAAAUAUAUUCCAUCUGA
Artibeus jamaicensis (Jamaican fruit-eating bat) is the source of this 667-nucleotide long non-coding RNA. RefSeq lists it as uncharacterized. The transcript is spliced from 2 exons. Lineage: Eukaryota; Metazoa; Chordata; Mammalia; Chiroptera; Phyllostomidae. The record is from RefSeq and is a predicted model, not a curated record.